UACGUAGGGGGCAAGCGUUGUCCGGAUUUAUUGGGCGUAAAGAGCGUGUAGGCGGUUUGGUAGGUCCGCUGUGAAAACUCGAGGCUCAACCUCGAGACGCCGGUGGAAACCAUCAGACUAGAGUCCGGAAGAGGAGAGUGGAAUUCCUGGUGUAGCGGUGAAAUGCGCAGAUAUCGGGAGGAACACCUGUGGCGAAAGCGGCUCACUGGACCACAACUGACGCUGAGAAGCGAAAGCAUGGGGAGCGAACAGG
RNAcentral lists this ribosomal RNA (253 nucleotides) under uncultured bacterium. Its description in RNAcentral is "partial 16S ribosomal RNA". It matches the Rfam family "Bacterial small subunit ribosomal RNA", at positions 524 to 776 of the family's 1533-position model. The record is from RNAcentral.